GAAGUGCGAUAAGCAAUGCGAAUUGCAGAAUUCCGCGAAUCAUCAGAUCUUUGAACGCAAAUGGCGUCAGAGGGAUAUCCUUCUGACAUGUCUGUUUCAGUGUCUGAGAGGUUUCACAAAAUCUUAAUGUGAUUGAAUCGAGUUAGUUAGUUUACUAGCUUUCUAGUUUCUCUCAUGAAAGUUGCGCGAGUGGAUCUUUCGGUCCAAUGAAGUGGUCACAUCACUCGAAUGUGAUUUCAUUGGAAGCACCGAAUUAUCAACUAAAACUCGCGGUAUCAUUAAACCAUGUAUUGAUGAUGCAUCAUCAUCAGUACUUUCUCUAUACCCUGCAUCUGAGAUAGGCAAGAUCACCCGCUGAACUUAA
RNAcentral lists this unclassified non-coding RNA (364 nucleotides) under uncultured fungus. RNAcentral's name for it is "sequence contains ITS1". The stretch from base 1 to 105 matches the Rfam family "5.8S ribosomal RNA", at positions 50 to 154 of the family's 154-position model. Lineage: Eukaryota; Fungi. The record is from RNAcentral.